ACCUUACCAGGGUUUGACAUGCAAGUGGUAGGGAACCGAAAGGUGACCGACCCCUCGGGGAGCUUGCACAGGUGCUGCAUGGCUGUCGUCAGCUCGUGUCGUGAGAUGUCCGGUUAAGUCCGCUAACGAGCGCAACCCUCGCYGUGUGUUACAAGUGUCACACGGGACUGCCGGUCUUAAGCCGGAGGAAGGUGGGGAUGACGUCAAGUCAGCAUGGCCUUUAUGCCCUGGGCUACACACACGCUACAAUGGCCAGCACAAUAGGUUGCUAAGCCGCGAGGUGGAGCCAAUCCUCAAAGUUGGUCUCAGUUCAGAUUGUAGGCUGCAACUCGCUGCAUGAAGUGGAGUUGCUAGU
This 355-nucleotide ribosomal RNA is filed under the name uncultured Chloroflexota bacterium. RNAcentral describes it as "bacterial SSU rRNA". It matches the Rfam family "Bacterial small subunit ribosomal RNA", at positions 968 to 1339 of the family's 1533-position model. Lineage: Bacteria; Bacillati; Chloroflexota. The record is from RNAcentral.